Rattus norvegicus (Norway rat) is the source of this 74-nucleotide non-coding RNA. The record is from Rfam. NCBI's taxonomy places the organism in Eukaryota, Metazoa, Chordata, Mammalia, Rodentia, Muridae.
GGCCUUGUGGCUUAGCGGGUCAAAGCGCCUGUCUAGUAAACAGGAGAUCCUGGGUUCGAGUCCCAGCAGGGCCU